Molecule: long non-coding RNA, 871 nt
Organism: Pongo pygmaeus (Bornean orangutan)
Lineage: Eukaryota; Metazoa; Chordata; Mammalia; Primates; Hominidae
Exons: 2
Source: RefSeq, a predicted model, not a curated record
CCGAGUCUGUCUUCCAUUCCACUUCAGGGAGGGAAUGCUCAGCCCGGAAUGAACAGCACCAAGAUUAACUGGGACAGAAAGGACCAUCUCGUUCUAUCCCUUGCCUCUUCCGGAACUAAAUCAUCUUUGGCAGAUGGUGUUUCUAGCCACAGUCUCCCAGGGAACCUCCCCCAGCGCCUAGCAACCUUCAGCAUUGGGGAGUCCUUCCCGUGGUUUGGUCUAAAUGCCCACGAUGCUCCCAGGCUCAGGGGUCCACACUCCUCUGUCCAUUAGGGGCCCUCAGAGGAACCCAACCCCCAGGACACCACAGGUCCAACUGUUCCCUCGCUAGGAGCCCUUGGCCAUCCCACCAUGGGGCGAAUGUGACCUCCCACUCCAGCCAACACUCCCCACACCCCCAGCCUGCCCAGGAGCAUUUGCUUUUCAAAACUUCCCUUUCUUAAAAAAGAAACAAUUUUCCAAAGCCCAGGGAGUUAAUCCAUGAAAUCUUCUGGAACAAAAGCAGCUGGCCCAGGCCUUGGAUAAGUCGAUCAACAAACAUGCCAGAGCCCUGUGUGGUUCAAAAUGUUCUUUGUUCCAGCCGCCGAGCCUGGAUCUUGCUGGAUCCUAACGGUUCUCCUUGCCAGGCAGCUGCACCCCCUUAACUGCAUGAACAUUUCUUAAGCGCCCACCGUGGACCAGGCACGUGCUGGGCUUUGGAAAUACAGCGCUGGGCAACACUCGCAGAACCCCUGCUCUCACAGAGACACUACACAAACCAGCCAAAGUCCAUGUGAAGUAAUGUGUGAUUGCAAAUCCGGCUACAUUUUAUGGAAGUUUUAAAAAGAAAAGGAACGAAGGUCCUGGCUCAAAAUAAACGUUUAAUAAAUAA